AGUGAACGCUGGCGGUAGGCCUAACACAUGCAAGUCGAACGGCAGCACAGUAAGAGCUUGCUCUUACGGGUGGCGAGUGGCGGACGGGUGAGGAAUACAUCGGAAUCUACUUUUUCGUGGGGGAUAACGUAGGGAAACUUACGCUAAUACCGCAUACGACCUACGGGUGAAAGCAGGGGAUCUUCGGACCUUGCGCGAUUGAAUGAGCCGAUGUCGGAUUAGCUAGUUGGCGGGGUAAAGGCCCACCAAGGCGACGAUCCGUAGCUGGUCUGAGAGGAUGAUCAGCCACACUGGAACUUAGACACGGUCCAGACUCCUACGGGAGGCAGCAGUGGGGAAUAUUGGACAAUGGGCGCAAGCCUUAUCCAGCCAUACCGCGUGUGUGAAGAAGGCCUUCGGGUUGUAAAGCCCUUUUGUUGGGAAAGAAAAGCAGCAGGUUAAUACCCCGCUGUUCUGACGGUACCCAAAGAAUAAGCACCGGCUAACUUCGUG
Molecule: ribosomal RNA, 492 nt
Filed under: uncultured bacterium
Lineage: Bacteria
Description: partial 16S ribosomal RNA
Rfam family: Bacterial small subunit ribosomal RNA
Source: RNAcentral